This 262-nucleotide unclassified non-coding RNA is filed under the name uncultured fungus. RNAcentral's name for it is "sequence contains ITS2". Lineage: Eukaryota; Fungi. The record is from RNAcentral.
AACGCACAUUGCGCCCGCCAGCACUCUGGCGGGCAUGCCUGUCCGAGCGUCAUUUCACCCCUCAAGUCCACCCCCAGGGUGCUUGGUGUUGGGGGCCGGCCGGGAGAGCCCGCGCCGCCCCCGAAAUGCAGUGGCGACCCCGCCGCAGCCUCCCCUGCGCAGUAGCACACCUCGCACCGGAGCGCGGAGGCGGUCACGCCGUAAAACGCCCCAACUCUCACGAGUUGACCUCGGAUCAGGUAGGAGUACCCGCUGAACUUAA